GGACUACUGGGGUAUCUAAUCCUGUUUGCUCCCCACGCUGUCGCGCAUCAGUGUCAGUUGUGGCCCAGCCAACCGCCUUCGCCACCGGUGUUCUUCCGGAUCUCUACGCAUUCCACCGCUACACCCGGAAUUCCAUUGGCCUCUACCACACUCAAGCUCGGGAGUAUCACCGGCCGACUCAGGGUUGAGCCCUGAGCUUUCACCGACGACUACCCGUGCCACCUACGCGCCCUUUACGCCCAGUGAUUCCGGACAACGCUCGCACCCUCCGUAUUACCGCGGCUGCUGGCAC
Molecule: ribosomal RNA, 292 nt
Filed under: uncultured bacterium
Lineage: Bacteria
Description: partial 16S ribosomal RNA
Source: RNAcentral